This 162-nucleotide ribosomal RNA is filed under the name uncultured bacterium. RNAcentral describes it as "partial 16S ribosomal RNA". The record is from RNAcentral.
GCACGAAGUUAGCCGCGUGCUUUCUAAAGUGGUACCGUCAUAUCUGAUUUGUAUUAGAAAUCAGACUUUCUUCCCACUCAACAGAAGUUUACAAUCCGAAGACCUUCAUCCUUCACGCGGCGUCGCUGCGUCAGGCUUUCGCCCAUUGCGCAAUAUUCCUCA